This 154-nucleotide small nuclear RNA is filed under the name Oryctolagus cuniculus (rabbit). Its description in RNAcentral is "U1 spliceosomal RNA (ENSOCUG00000028679.2)". It matches the Rfam family "U1 spliceosomal RNA". Rfam says of the family: U1 is a small nuclear RNA (snRNA) component of the spliceosome (involved in pre-mRNA splicing). Lineage: Eukaryota; Metazoa; Chordata; Mammalia; Lagomorpha; Leporidae. The record is from RNAcentral.
AUACUUACCUGACAGGGAAGAUAACUGUGAAUAUGAAUGUAGUCUUCCCAGGACAAGACGUAUCUAUUUUACUUCAACUCUGCUGAUCUUUCCCCAAAUGUGAGAAACUCAACAGCACAAUCUGUGAUGUUGAUUUCACUGCAUUCAUGCUAUC